RNAcentral lists this ribosomal RNA (4349 nucleotides) under Triticum aestivum (bread wheat). Its description in RNAcentral is "partial small subunit ribosomal RNA". Lineage: Eukaryota; Viridiplantae; Streptophyta; Magnoliopsida; Poales; Poaceae. The record is from RNAcentral.
CAUUGAAACUUCACUCGAACAUAAAAGAAGCAGAAUAAAGCCGCCAUACUCUACAACGACAACAAACACUCACUCUAACCUAAGCAGGAAGAUCUAGCUAGAAGGCGACCCAAAGUCGCCAAUGAAGCUAACAAAAGAAAACGCCCAAUUCACGAACACCAUCAAGAGAAGAGGAACCACUCUAAGCACUUAAGGAUCACCACAUUACCCCCGCGAAGCGAGAGUGCGUUCGCCGUUUUCGGGCACACUUAACGGGGUCAAAAGCCAAUCAGGAGAACCCGCGUUGUGCUAUCGCACCGUCGGGUCAAGAGGCCUAAGACGACGCGAAAAUGAAAGAAAAAGGCGGCUGUCAAACAUAGGUCACACUUUAACGAAAUACUCAAUACUAAUAUAUACUAGAACUCUACACGAGUAGGACAGAAUACUUAGCCAUCAUAAGUAUUUCUUUAAUGAUGAAGAGGAACCUUAUAUGGCCAUCUAAACGUCAUUCAUACGGUAGCUCAAGUAGUAAUUGUGGACCAUCUAAACGGUACGGCAGCCAGGUGGUAAAUAGUGAACCGUCUAAACAGGCACGGAAGACGGGUCGGUUAAGAGACUGAGCAAGAGUACUUUUUCUGAACAGCACAGAACCUUCGAUUUCUUAAUUAAAUGAGAACCACAACGUUUAUCUGUUUCCUUAAAAGAGGACAUACGAUCAUCGUCAAAGAAUCAUACUAGGUGGCAUGGUAGACGGACCGAUAAGGGCUCUUUUGUCCAAUAACAGACGGAUUGAUGAUGUGUCGUUCUACAGCCAUCGGUUCUUCCUGCUCCAAACGCCAGUAGGCGAACCCGAAGCUAACCCACUCGGCCGACGACCACAAGGGUAAUUCUUUUCCGGUCAAAAGAAUAGGCUGUUUAGUCAAGGUAGACCUUACUGUGAGAGGUACUUCGGGGGUAGAUGAGGCUGCCCCUACAGGCAGAGCCGAGACCCCCGCCCGAAAUCGUUGCUCGGACAGAACUUAUCUAGAUUUAGCCUAUAAGGGUUAUCUAGAAAAUGAGGCAGCUGCUUGCUCUUCUUUCCGCACGAUGAAUUACCGAGUUCGUUCUAGGGGAGAGCGCCUCUCUCACCAUCUGAUCCCUCACGACGAGGGCAACGGUCUAGUGUCUCAGUGUUCAAAGACUGAAACCUAAAUGUCAAUCGCAGAGCAGUCUUACAGUUUUAGUUGAGAUUAAGGGGACAGUUCUUUCUCUUUGAUCUAGUCCCCAAAAGAUAUAAAGGAAGUCGUUCUGGAGGGUUCCUACACGUUUGUUGUUCACCGUACCUUAGAAGAAGAUUGCGAUCGAACCCUUUUGAUAGAUUAAAUCUAGAAUUACAUAGUGACCUGGGUCAACUAGUUGAACUUCCAAACGGAUGUUACGUCCGACCGAAAUUGUAUGGAGUAGUAUGUUGUUAAGUCGUAGUCUUUCGUGUCCAAGGGGGUCACCGUGGGAAAAGAAGUCAUUCGUCAGCCGACUCAGAUUUAUAACUGUUAUGAGACUUUGUCGGCGUACGUAUAGUUGAAGGAUUAUUCUCACAUCGUCGACUACAAUGGAAUCUAAACGUUGAAUUUGGUGGUUGGUCUGGGCUCGAACCUUAUUCGACCUUUCCGGAACGAGGACUAGGUCUCGAUUCGGAGAGAGACAGACCAUUAGUGUGUCUACUCGGAUUCCCAGACUUACAAGGACUACGAUAUAAAUGUAGACUUGGACAACUUUCUCGGUUAUUCUAGUCGGACCUCCAAGGACGUGGUCAGAGACUAUUUAGUGGUCGACUCUUCGAAGACUUUGGACACCGCACAUUACAUUUAGGAGCGUGAUGGUACGGUGUUUGUCAAAGACCUUUACACCUCUAUUACGGGUCAUUAAACCACUUCUUUCUCGGACCUCUUGGAUGUCCCGCUGUAUAGGUCUUUUUACAUCUUUUCCGUGGAGACAAGCAGGUUGUUUCACAACCUGUCCGAUCGUCAUCACGACUUAAACUUUUUUGACCGUUGGAUUUGGCUCACACACCAUUUCGACCGAAACUAAACAUGAGACCUUUUAAAGGUUUACCAUCACGACAGGCGUUACCUAACCUCCAUCACUGACUAUCACAAGGACAUGUUUGACUGUUCAACACACCACAACGAACGUGACUCUUUCAAUAGUUCGCACUUCUUCACUGUUGACGGUAGGGUUCGGGACACUAACGUUGUCAUUCACCAGUCAGACUCAGUAAUUAACGAUUUAGUGACGUAAACCUUCCAUUACAACGGUCGGGACAACGACCUAAUACACUUGGUCGAUCAGUUGGGUGGUAAAGACGAAGCCCUGGACGUUCGACAUUAGGACAAUUUCGAUGAUGACUAACAUUUGGUCGUCAAUUAGUCUAAGCACGAGCGUUUUUACACCGGGCCUUCGGAACACUACAUAGGGCUUCAAGGAGGUUGGGAUGUCGACUUAGAAACCAAAAGUUAAGAGACGUGGCACGACAUGAACUACCAUACAGGGUUCCUUCACGAAGUUACCUGAAAAGUCUCCUACCACUAUUACGACAAAGUGUCGACGGAUGAUGGUUAUUCGGAGUACAACUCAGUAACCCAUUAUCAGUUUAAUGACUCGAAUUAUUGAAUUAGUGUCUCGGCGCCUUUCUUCCACUAUCAUUAUACGUAGUACUGACAAACAGGCACUGUUUAUUCCAAGUGUAAGUCCCGUGACUACUACACUUCGCACAAUUAUGCGGUCUACAGUAACGGUGAGUAAGUCCACUCCUCCUCGUACUUUCACUCCAAAGACAAUUACCCUUUCGGUUUCUGUUUGUUAACAACUGUAGACUAUUCUUAAGGGGUGACUGAUUAUGACUGUAAUGGUACCUUCUACAAUUCUAAAGGCGUCCACGGUCAAGUCGUCUAGAAUGCUCUAGUGGAUAAAACCCUCGAAGUCCAAGGGUAUUUUAUCUAAGAUGCUCCGUUAGAGGGUUCUGUAGACUAUUGUGACAGCUCUUCACAUCUUAGGGUCACUAUUUUAGACUUUCCUCAGUCAGAGGACUACCAUUCGUUCGACGAUUAACAUCGCUCCUGUUAUGUUUUUAACGACGACAUUUCUCACUCGUACCCUGUCUUUUCCUUCUCUAACGAUCUCCAAGAUUAAAUGUCGGUUUGCUAGGUCAAAACCCACUUCUAAGUGAACAACUGCCUCGAAGCUGGUCAGUUGAUGUAUUACUUAGAUGUCUCUUACUUUUUCUACCUGUCCAAUUACCCAGCGUAACCGCUCUACACCGUUUACGAAUACAAUUAUCCUUACUCUCUACCCUCUCCAAGUACGUCAGACUCGCUCUCUUGUUAUCUCUCAAGGUACCACCGUCUCUGUACUUGUUAGUUGCCUCCUACCUGGGUGCAAUAGCACCAGCACCACCACCUAUAGUACCGGUAGGUUCCUUGAAGUCCCCAGGUUCUUACUCGCUACUCAGACUUUAACUGAAGCUUCUACUUGGAUAACAACCGUCUUCCUCCGGUGUACUUUUACUGAUGCCCGUGAACGUGGCUUGAGUCGUAUCCGCCGACGCAAGUGGUGGCGUAGUCUACGGACCGACGGAGUACUCUCUUUACCUCGUACUGUCUAAAAGACCCUCUCUCUAAUACCUGGGAUCCGACAACCUUGUGCCCGUCUACCUACUACAGGGUCUACUGUACUACCUUGUCUCCAAAAAGUACGGGGUAGGAGUAAGUGUCGUGUGAGAUCCACUAGUACGUAAAUAGGUGUCCCUGUCGUCAGUAAGUGGACCAGUUUCUUCCCCGCGGGGGCACGUAAAGGUGGCCCCUGCCAGGGGACUUUGGUACGUUUCUAGUGGUGGUGAUUUGUCUUCACUGUCUGGUAUGAAUGGAGUAGUUGCGGUGUAUGCUGCGGCACCAAGAGGUAAGCUGGCUCAUCCUGUACUGCUCUCUCCAUACGUUUCCUUGUACUUCGCCACACCGUACGUAGUUCCACACCUUCCACUCUGGAAACUCGGUGGAAAUGUAGGGCGAGUUGAUCGGCUCGAUGUACGUCUCCGACUCGAAUGUUUCUCUUCCUCCAAACCCCUCUCCUCUCGCAUAGCAGCUAGGAACCUUGCCUCGGGGUACCCGCCGCUGCUCCUCUACGAGAGCAUGGUGCCGCUACCGCUGUAGCUGAAACGGCUACCACUACCGCCAGGUGCCCUCGGACUGCCGGCACCGAAGUCCUUGUCUUACCUCGUGGCUCGUUCCCCGCUCGUCCUUCUACCGAAGUCCAUGGCACCGGGAGUCCCCCCCACGGCACUGCCGUUGGGCUUACUGUCAUCUAGCUUCUUCUCCUCCUCCAUACGACGUCGCAUU